GAAAGAUGGAGGACAGACAAUUUAAGACUGAAUUAUACCUUUAAAUUAUGAUAAAAUGAAUGUGUAUCGUGCUACUGAGAAUUAUGUAUAUAAAACAGAUGAAUGUCUUGGACGGGGUGCCACAGGGGAUGUGUACAGGGGAGUCCAUAAGGUAACUGGAGAACAAUGCGCGUUAAAACUGUGUGAUCCCCGCUAUACCCAGCAGCUACAGAGAGAGGUAGAGGCCAUGAGACAGCUACAGCAUCCCAACAUCACAAAGUUCCAUCAGCUGGAGCACGACAAGGAGACAUCCAAACCAAUCCUUGUUAUGGAGCUGUGUGAGAAGGGGAACCUCCUGGAGCUGCUGCGAGACCCCGCUAACUCCUACGGUCUGGAGGAGGACGAAUUCCUCCGAUUUUUUCGUCAUCUGGUGUCUGGAAUGAAACAUCUUCGCCAGAAUGGAUUUUCCCACCGAGACAUAAAACCAGGCAACAUUCUGGUGUAUGUUGCAGACGAUGGCAGUCAUGUCUACAAGCUAUCAGACUUUGGGACUGCUAAACCUCUGAAGGAUGGAGAUUUCUUCCAGUCUCUCGUAGGAACGGAGGAGUAUCUGCAUCCUGACAUUUUUAAAGCUGCCUUCAUUGAUCGCUAUCGUCCACGAGAGUUUGAUAUCUCUGUUGAUUUGUGGAGUCUGGGAGCCACCCUGUAUCAUGCCGCCACUGGGAAGGUCCCCUUCCAACCCUACCAUGGGCGCGGGGACAAACAUACCAUGUUUCAGAUGAUCUCAAAGAAGGACCCGGGUGUUAUUGCUGGAGAGCAGAUCUCAGCAACUGGGUCCAUUAUCUGGUUCAAAGAACUGCCCAAAACCUGCUUGUUUUCAAAAUACCUCAAGGACACAUUGACAGAGUAUCUAGUGAGACUUCUGGAGUGCCAGACACACAGGAUGUGGACGUUUGAUGGAUUUUUUGUUGCUGCAGAUGAUCUCCUCCAGAAACAUAAGCUACAUCUGUUCUCUGUGGUGGACUCACAGCUUUAUCAUAUCUACAUGAACCCAGAUAGCAAAUUCGAUGACUUACAGAAAUGUUGCCAGGAGCAGACGUUUACACAAAUCAAAUCACCCUAUUUUCUUCUUCAUAACCAUGAUCUGGGAGAAUCCAUCUCAUUAGAUGACCCUGUAGAGUCCUAUCCCGCGACAUCAGCUGAUGAACCAAUAAUAGCCCUCCCCCUACAGGAGGGGACAUCCCUCACUACAAAAACGCCCACCGACUUCAUUGUGUCUCUUGUUGAAGAACUGACUGUGGAGUUCGCGAGUGAUGACGUGUCGACUCGAGAUGAUGACUACCGUACAGCUCGCUCUAUGUGUGUCACCACGGCCAUGAUAUAUAAAGCUGUAACACAGGCUGCAUCUGCUCUUCAGCUGCUGAGCAGUACGUCACGGGACUGCAGAUAUGAAGUACGACAGAAGUAUAAGUCCCUGAGGAGCAGUGUGAGGACCUUAGAGGACCGAUACACAGACAUCAAACAAAUCGUAGACACGGAUCACAAGAAAUCAACAGCGUUAUUUACUACCAUUACAGAGGACGGAGAUAUCGCUGACGACAACUUUGAACAGAUCAGCAAUAAGCUAGAUUCCUGUACAUCUUUGCUGGAAGUUUGUAAAGAAAAACACAAGAAACUGGAUGAGUUGACCAAAAUCAUGAAUUCCAUUACUCAGGAAAAUAUAAAGGCAAUGGUUGAGAGAACAUUCAAACAAAUGAUGGAGAUAUUGCAGAAGUUCUCGGAUUACCGUAAAUUACCGCGACUAAAUUACCACGACAAGAAACUCUACACAUUUGACAAGACAUCAAUAUCCUUUCAUUACCAGCGAGCUGUGUCUUACUUAAAGAAAGUUCAGCAUUCCAUGGCUGCCACAUUUACAACAUUUAGAAGAUGGCACAGUGCCUAUAUAAAAGUUUUGGAGGAACAUGAAGAAGUGGACGCUGCUAUGGCAGACAUUACCAGACAACUACAGGAAGUGGUUAGUGAGGUCAAGGGACUGAAGGAAUCUCCACCUCUGCCUUCCAUAUAUAAGCCAUCCAUGAAACAGAGACAUCUAGCACAGCAAGUGAAGAAAGGUGUGUCAGACAUUAGUAAGGACAUGAAUGAGACAAAGCAGAUAGCCCAGGAAUCUAGGGGCCACAUGGACAGUUUAAAGUCUUUGAUGGAAGAAUUUGAUGGAGAAUUUGACCUGUCUAGCUGAACACGAUCUGUUGAACCAGCCAUUUUGUUUGACUUAGGUCUAUAAUAGGCUGAGUUUUCAGACCUUUCCUUACAAUCUGUGAUACAAUGUUUUAACAGAAUGAAUGAUGAUUUUUUUUUUUCAAUCUCUUCAGAAUUAUAUUUUAUACACAUUGAGGGACCAAUAUAUUUACAUUUUGUUUCAAUUAUUUUUAUGAUUUAAUCAGUAUGUACACAUGUAUGUGGAAUCAAUUUUUACAAUUUUUAUUCCCUGCUCCCCCUGUCUGACUGUUGUUGUGUGGACAGGAGGGAAAUCUUUAGGGAUGACAUAACAGAAGUGCAGAACCAUGAUAAACUGUAUAGUAAUUUUUAUACCCACUCCACAAAGGAGGGGGGAUACUGUUUUACACUUGUGUUUUUGUCUGUCUGUCCAAAUAACAAAUUUUUGUUGCAUUUUUCUCAGCAAUUACUAAUUGCAAAUUCAAGGUUUAGCACAGUCUUUAUUUAGGCAUGCCAUAUGAUGGGAUUCAUUUUUGUACAACUUCGAUGUCAACUUCCUGUUUAUCCCUCCAUAUGUGUCUUUCUGUAACUGUACUAGUGUAUACACAUAAGAGUGUAGGUUUUAUUACUGAGCAUUGGCCCAGAGUACAUUAACUGUUCUGUAGCUUUUGUACAUUUAUAUCAUUAUUUAAUUCCCAGAUGAAAAUAUUAAACCCCCAAAAAAUUAACAUAAUGUGGAAAAAAUCCGAUUUUCUUUUUAAUAUUUUUAUAGUGGGUCUAAAUGAUGUGAUGGAACUCUGUUUUACAAGUGCGGCUUGCAUAAAACUUUAUGAAUGAUAAAAUGUAAUCCUAAUGACUACCACUGUGGACUUUGUUUUACAAGUAAAGGUUGUCAAUUUUUAGUAACUGCAUGGUUACUUGCCUGGCCUUUCAGGUCAAGUUCUCAGUCUAUAUUUUUAUAAAACUUAACAUUUAAACCUAUGAUCCACAUUUAUCUUACCAAUCAGGUUCUUGUUCUUGUGAAUGAUUU
This is an RNA transcript of Saccostrea cuccullata (small rock oyster), 3226 nucleotides long. It is a transcript of the gene named inhibitor of nuclear factor kappa-B kinase subunit epsilon-like, with no coding region annotated. NCBI's taxonomy places the organism in Eukaryota, Metazoa, Mollusca, Bivalvia, Ostreida, Ostreidae. The transcript has 19 exons. The record is from RefSeq and is a predicted model, not a curated record.